GACGAACCGUGCGAACGUUAUUCGGAAUCACUGGGCUUAAAGCGCGUGUAGGCGGGACGGCACGUCGGUCGCUGAAAGCCCCCGGCUCAACCGGGGAACGGGCGCCGAUACGACCGGCCUGGAGGGACGUAGGGGGACCUGGAACUUCCGGUGGAGCGGUGAAAUGCGUUGAGAUCGGAAGGAACGCCCGUGGCGAAAGCGAGGUCCUGGACGUUUUCUGACGCUGAGACGCGAAAGCUAGGGGAGCGAACGGG
Molecule: ribosomal RNA, 254 nt
Filed under: uncultured bacterium
Lineage: Bacteria
Description: partial 16S ribosomal RNA
Rfam family: Bacterial small subunit ribosomal RNA
Source: RNAcentral